CCACUAGAUGAUGAUGAGCUAGUGGAAUACAUCCUCGCUGGCCUUGACGAGGAAUAUGACUCCGUUGUCAACGCGGUUCUUGCAUAAACCGAUUAAGUGAACUUGUUUCACAGAUACUGUCUCUCGAGA
RNAcentral lists this small nucleolar RNA (129 nucleotides) under Dichanthelium oligosanthes. RNAcentral describes it as "Small nucleolar RNA Z247". It matches the Rfam family "Small nucleolar RNA Z247". Rfam says of the family: Z247 is a member of the C/D class of snoRNA which contain the C (UGAUGA) and D (CUGA) box motifs. Most of the members of the box C/D family function in directing site-specific 2'-O-methylation of substrate RNAs. Lineage: Eukaryota; Viridiplantae; Streptophyta; Magnoliopsida; Poales; Poaceae. The record is from Rfam by way of RNAcentral.